RNAcentral lists this ribosomal RNA (253 nucleotides) under uncultured bacterium. Its description in RNAcentral is "partial 16S ribosomal RNA". It matches the Rfam family "Bacterial small subunit ribosomal RNA", at positions 524 to 776 of the family's 1533-position model. The record is from RNAcentral.
UACGUAGGGUGCAAACGUCGCUCGGAAUCAUUGGGCGUAAAGCGCACGUAGGCGGCCUGUUAAGUCGGGUGUGAAAGCCCUGGGCUCAACCCAGGAAGUGCACUCGAAACUGGCGGGCUUAAAUAUGGAAGAGGGUCGCGGAAUUCCCGGUGUAGAGGUGAAAUUCGUAGAUAUCGGGAGGAACACCAGUGGCGAAGGCGGCGACCUGGGCCAAUAUUGACGCUGAGGUGCGAAAGCGUGGGGAGCAAACAGG